Decorospora gaudefroyi is the source of this 87-nucleotide non-coding RNA. The record is from the annotation of a GenBank genome assembly. Lineage: Eukaryota; Fungi; Ascomycota; Dothideomycetes; Pleosporales; Pleosporaceae.
GCCCGAAUGGCCAAGUGGUAAGGCGUCGCACUCGUAACCCACCAAUGCGAUAUGCGAAGAUCGCGAGUUCGAAUCUCGCUUUGGGCU